RNAcentral lists this ribosomal RNA (452 nucleotides) under uncultured Amaricoccus sp. Its description in RNAcentral is "bacterial SSU rRNA". It matches the Rfam family "Bacterial small subunit ribosomal RNA", at positions 8 to 492 of the family's 1533-position model. The record is from RNAcentral. Lineage: Bacteria; Pseudomonadati; Pseudomonadota; Alphaproteobacteria; Rhodobacterales; Paracoccaceae.
AGAGUUUGAUCAUGGCUCAGAACGAACGCUGGCGGCAGGCUUAACACAUGCAAGUCGAGCGCGCCCUUCGGGGUGAGCGGCGGACGGGUGAGUAACGCGUGGGAACGUGCCCCUUUCUUCGGAAUAGCCUCGGGAAACUGGGAGUAAUGCCGAAUACGCCGAGCCAUAGCGAUAUGGUUUGGGAAAGAUUUAUCGGAGAGGGAUCGGCCCGCGUUGGAUUAGGUAGUUGGUGGGGUAAUGGCCUACCAAGCCGACGAUCCAUAGCUGGUUUGAGAGGAUGACCAGCCACACUGGGACUGAGACACGGCCCAGACUCCUACGGGAGGCAGCAGUGGGGAAUCUUGGACAAUGGGGGCAACCCUGAUCCAGCCAUGCCGCGUGAGCGAUGAAGGCCUUAGGGUUGUAAAGCUCUUUCAGCGGGGAAGAUAAUGACGGUACCCGCAGAAGAGCCG